RNAcentral lists this long non-coding RNA (2701 nucleotides) under Aquilegia coerulea. RNAcentral's name for it is "long non-coding RNA (ACOE_LNC001451)". Lineage: Eukaryota; Viridiplantae; Streptophyta; Magnoliopsida; Ranunculales; Ranunculaceae. The record is from RNAcentral.
GUACAUCUAGUUGAACUAAUAGUUCUGAUGAAGCACCAAAAGUCCUAGUUUUCCAUAAACAAUAAACAUGCAAGAAAACAUUGACCAGCAUCCUGCAAAUAAUAAAUGAAAAUACUUUCAGUAGCAUACUACAACAAAUAAUAAAAAGCAAUUUCUAAUCCAGUUUAUUAGCCAUGAACUAUUGGCAUUUAUAUAGUACUGCAGACUGGAAACUUCGCCAAGUAAUUAGUUGGCAUAUUGGUUUCUCUAUAAUAGCGUUCAAUCUUACACCAAAAACACCAAGAUAGGUACGUUUUACACACAACUGUUGAAAUGAAGCUUGGAAUUUGACCAAAACCAAAAUCCAUGGCAGAACUAAGCUAGGUCGGAAGUCAGAAAUAUGUCGAGUAGCAGAUUCCAUGGAGAACUAUUAAGAUAGGUUAAAACUAUGCUUCCAGUACAAAAUCCAUGCAUAGGAGCAGCAUAUUAUAAUAGAAAUGUUAAUUGCUGUAACUCUAUAUGUAAUACAACUGAUCCGACAAGAUACACGUCUGAUUCUUAUUGCAUCCACUAAACAUGUAGCAAGCAAGAGACUGUACUACAAGAACAGCCAAAUGCAAAUUCCCGACUUAAUUGGAUAAUAGAGCAUAUAAAUGAUGUCUAGGAAGACAUGUAAAAAGAAAAGAAAAAAGUGACACAAUUCAAGUAAGAUAAAACUUCUAAAAAUAUAUCUCAAGUAUUUUAAACAUCAAUUAUCUUCCAUAUGUGAUGUGUAAAAUGUAAAUAGAUCCCUCAGCCAGUGUCAUAAUCUAUGUAAUGAUGUAAAUGAGGGCAUGCUCAUAGAAAAUAACAUAUAUAAAAUCAAAUAGAAUUUCAUAACAAAAAUAAAUUUCGUAAAAUAAAAAAAUAAACUUUAUUUUCGAUAAGCGAUCCAAUAAAUUUACAUAGAUGUGAUAUGAUCCCCAGGCUUUAUCACAGUCAUCACGCUCAUAGAAAAUUAACUAAGAUACAAAUAAAGAUCUUAAAAGUAGAAUAUAUAAAUGAUUUAUUUUCAAUAAACAAGUCAUCACAUACAUUUUACAUAGAUGUGAAAAUGUGAAAUAAUCCCUCGGGCUUUAUCAAUAAGUGUCAUCAUCUAUGCAUGAUGCAUUGAUGUGCAUGAGGAAUACUCAUCCAAUAAACUAAAAUAUAUAAUCAAAUAAAAUUAUAAAAAAAAACGGAAAACAAAAAACUUAACUUUAUUUUCAAUAAAAAUACAUUAUACAUAGAAGUGAAAUGAUCCCCCAAGGCUUUAGCAAUUCAGAGCUCACGAUCUAUCUAGAAUCGUAUUAGAACAUGCUUAGAGAAAAUAAGUAAAAUAUAAAAUCAAUUCACAAUUAGGCUCAGAAAAUACAAAAAACAAGUUAUUUUUCAAUAAAACAAUCGCCAUACACAAUUACGUAGAUGUGAAAUGAUGCACAGGCAUAAAUGCAUAAUAUGAGUUUGCGUCAUCAUCUACAUAUGAAGUGUAUGGCAACAUGAUCAAAGACAAUAAGUCACAGAAGAUCAAACAAAGCGUCAUCAAGUAUUUAUAAAGGAAAACUUAUUUUCCAAAUAAAGGAUUUACAUAGAUGUGACAUGAUCCCUCUAGCUAAAAUUAAGAGUCAACUUCUAUGUACUACCUUUAUGAGGCAUGUAAAGGGGAAAAAUCAAUGUAAAAAUAUUCCAUGUGAAUGCAUAAGAAAGUAACGUGUUUUAAAGAAAACAUCAAGCAUAACCAUUGGGAUGUGAGAUGAUCCUAUAAGGUGAAGAAGAAAUAACUUUCAAUUUGAAGAAAACAUCAAGCAUAGCCAUUGGGAUGUGAGAUGAAUGAUGAUCCUACAAGGUGAAGAAGAAAUAACUUUUCAAUUUACAUGCCAAGAUAUUUGUUUUACCAUAUUCAAAGUACCGACCAAAUAUAUUCUCACAAUUGAGACAAGAGAAGAAAGAACACAUUAAUAUUUUGGAACAGAUUCCCUUUUAUUAUAGUCUGUGGAAGUGUGGAACCAUUGUACUAAUGAAUUAAACAUUCCAUGUACCUCUGCUCACGAUAGUCUAUCACUUGUGUAUACAGUAUUGGUAUUCCACGUACCUUUGGGCAACGAGUGGGAGAUAUGGGAGAUAGAUAUAUGCAAUAAGACACACAAGUACAUUGAAUUCCAUCUAAUAUAUGCAUCAGUCAAGUUUAUCAGAUAACAUGAAAUCCCAAAACUUUUAGUUUAUAAAUAUACAGUAUAUAAGAAAGCUCUAACAACACAAAUCCGCAGCAUGAUUUAUCAAUUGAGAGCAAACGUAAACAAAAUCAAACAAAGACUUUAACUAGAGUUUGUGUUCAAUUUAUCAAGACAAACGACAACUUCAAUUCCAAAUUUACCAAAACAGUUUCAAUUGUGAUGAAGAAACAACACAGAAAUAGAAAUGUCAUUGGUUUCAAUCAUGAACAAGUUCUAGUAAGAAUGAGAAGCGAAGAUAUGCAAAACUUCUAAAUUAACCGAUUCAAUUCAAAGAGAAACAAUUUUAAAACUUUUCAAAUCAACAAAUCGAUUUCGCACAAAAAUCAACAAUAUUUCUAAAUUGUGAAGAAGAACUAACUUACAUAAAUCACGAACAACCCAUCGCCUGAAGUCCUGAACCAAUUCGCAAUCGCAGAGAGAGAAGUCUGACUCGUUUCUAUCUUCUCUGUAAUUCUGUUGAAGAGACAGAA